AAACAAUGGGCAUGGAGUGAGAAGGCUGACUCAAUGCAAAAUGCUCCACCAUGGAAGUAAACCAAGAUGGGGAGCUUUUGGGUUUGGUUUUGAGGGAGAUUUGGGAGGUAAAGGCGAGCUGAGAUGCUGGGGUUGUGCGAGAUUGUGAUGUCUUUGGAGGAGACACCAGUUUCUGGGUCUUGAUCAGAUGGGGGCACAUGUGGAGACUCUAUGAGGCGUUCAACUUUUCCAUCUUGGUAGAUUCUGAUGAAAGGAAAGCCCUUGAAGGCUAAUUCUUUGGUGAUGGAAGCCAUUAGAGAAGAGAAGAUGUGCAGUUAACUAAGAAUUGUGAAACUUAAUGGAGGGAGCGUUGGCCUUUAUUCAUUAGAAAACAGAGAAAGAGAGGGGCCGUUUCUCUGACACUUUAGUACUUGUCAUGCAGCAGCCAAAGUGGCUAACACAUGUCUUGUUUUUCGUUGCAGUCAAACAAAGUAACCUCAAGGCUUUUUUGUAUUUUAUUUGUGGAGAUUUUAUUCACAAUCCAAAAGAUAUAUAGUGCAUUCCCUUUAUAUUAAUUUAACAAAUCAGUGGGUGAAAUAUGAAUAAUGGUUUUUUUUUAAGUGGACUUUGGUGUCAAAAAUAUUUAAUUAGAUAUUUUUGUCAAUGAGUAUAACUCAAUUGGUCAAGCUCCUUCACCUCCAUUUAUGUGGGCAGAGAUUCGAAACUUCCAGACACUCAAUGAAUAUUUGUGUAAAUCCCCCUCCCUUCUCGUACUAAAAAAAAAAAACUUGAAUUACAAAGCAAAUUCAUCCUCACCUGUUUAGAUUGUUUGCCACUCUUACUUUAACAAGCUAAAAAUAGAGUGAUUUGAUGCGUGAAGCAAACUAAUCAAAUUAGAAAACAAAGAAUUAAGGGAAAAAAAAAGGCCCCUCCAUCGACAUCAAGCGAACAGUUGCAGAAAAUUUCUUUUUGCAUUGGAAGUAACUCAGAGAGCUUAUCCAUAAGGAUAAUAUUGCUUGUUCUAUGAAACUGACGGUGACAGAUUCGGAAUAACAGCCGAAUAUAUUCUACUUAGUACAUUGAUUAGGUGCAUUAUUUUUAAUAUAAACAUAGGUUAGUAGAAUAUAUUCAAAAUACUGCACCCGGAUAAUUAGAAGGGCUAAAACAAAAAUCCAGCCUACCUAGCACCCAACUUCAUUGAAAAAACACCUUUAUUUAUUUAUUUAUUUUUUGAAGACCUUUCCUAUUGAAAGGGGCGAUAGCAUAUUAAACUCACACACACAAUACGGACCUUAUUUAAAGAUGUGAAUCUGAUUUUUAUUUUUUUUAUAACUAAUAAGAUGUAUUUAACCAAAGCAUGUACUUGGAAAGUAAACAGUUCUGGGUGGCUAUAUAUUUGCUGAUCAUGCACCUGCAUCAUAUUGAUUUUAUUUAGGCCUAUUCAUAUUAAGUGGUCAAUAAAAAUUAAUUUAAUAGCAUGAGAGUGUGCAUCUUGAUAUUAUUGCAUAGCCAGAGAAGUUUAUUAUUAUUUAUUUUUAUUGAGACUCAUGCUGCUAUCAUUACUUCAUUGUAGAGCUCAACAGACACAAAUCAUGAGGAAAUUUGGCAUGAUAUCUGUUGAUGCGAAAAAGUGGUUCGGCAUUUUAGGGCUUAAUUUAGUGAUGUAUGGGUCUUUGGAAUGCUUUGGGUCUUGGUAGAGUACUUAAUCUGCAAGAUGAGCGAACGCUCGGUAAGACCUAGGGCACCGGUGUGGUACUAGCCGAAAGCUCUCUGAUGUUUAAUUAAGUAUAGAUUUAGUAAAUAAUUUGGACAGAGCAGUGGCUAGUAUGCCGAAAGUUCAAGUUACCUCCAUCUUGGGACUUGUGCCCCUUUUUAUAAGCCUUGGGAGGUGUGCAUGUUGUGUAGAAUUUCGAUGUGGAACUGUUGACAUUCGUUGUGAGUGUUCCACGUGGCUAAAGGCUGAAUUUGCCCUAAAUUUGCCUUCGGCAGUCCUGGGUGCCGAGGGCUACCUUGCCGAUGCCUUCUUUUGUCCACACGUCUUGCUCUUAUUGGUCUGUUGACUUUGGUAUAAACAAUAUCAAACAAGAAAAGAAGCCAAGCGUUUGAUCAUUUUUCUUGACAUUCUCAGUCUCAUACUCACUCCACAAAUGAAAGCAAUGUUCUUCUUCCUUCCACUUCAAACAGCUCCACUUCUCCUUUCCACUCACUUUCUUUCCCUCACCAACUCAUAUUACCAAACCCAUUUUAUCCCUUAGCUCAUCUUUGCCAGCAACACAAGAACCCCACCCCACCCUAGUCAAUCUUGGUGCACCUUCACCCACUGGAUUCACCAUUGGAUUAUUGAUCCCUCCUAGAUCCCAUGGAUAAACAAUGCUCCAAAUUUUAUACCCUGGAGUAUUCAUGUUUGGUAGGCCUCACUGGACUGGACUGGACUGGGUUAAAUAACAUUUGAAACUCAUGUUUAGUAAGAGAGAGGACUAACUUAAAUGGGAUUGUAAAGUCCAACAGUUAAAAAAAUGCCUGACUUGCUCUUCCAAUUUAGUGAGGCUGAAACAUGCUUCGCAAAGUAGCAAGGUCGCUAAAUAGAACACGCGAGUCCUCCAACGCAAGUUGCAAAAAGCAGUAUAUGGUUUGAAACAGUUACCACGUGCAUGGUUGGACCAUUCACGUUGGCAAUGAGGAAUUAUGGGUUUAAGCAGAGCAAUUCAAAUCAUACUCUGUUCUUGAAACAUCAUAAAAGAAAGGUAACAAAUUUAAUAAUCUAUGUUGAUGAUAUGAUUAUUACUGGGAAUGAUGAACAGGAAAUAUCUCUGCUGCAAGACUAUUUAGCUACUGAAUUUGAGAUGAAGAAUCUAGGUGGACUCAAGUAUUUCUUGAGGAUUGAGGUGGCCUGAUCAAAGCAAGGCAUAUUUCUAUCUCUAAGGAAAUAUGUCUUGGACUUGUUGACAGACACAGAAAUACUAGAUUGCAAACCUAUAGACACUCCUAUUGUUCAUAAUCACCAUCUUGGAGAAUAUCUGGAUCAAGUUCCAACUAACAAGGAAGAAUACCAAAGGUUAGUGGGAAGUUUGAUCUAUUUGUCACAUACUAGACCAGAAAUCGCUUAUGCAGUGAGCGUAGUCAGUCAACUUAGGCAUUCUCCAAGUGAAAAUCACAUGAAUGCUGUUCUCCAAAUACUUAGAUAUUUGAAGUCUACACUUUGCAAAGGACUUAUGUUCUCAAAACAUGGUCAUAUGAAUAGUGAUGGUUACAUAGAUGCAAAUUGGGCGGGGUGUGUAACAAAUAGAAUCUACUUCUAGUUAUUUUACAUUCGUGGGAGGUAAUUUAGUGAAGUGGAGGAACAAGAAAUAGAAGGUAGUAGCUCCAUCUAGUGCAAACUCCUUUGGCUACGUAGGUUGCUUACUGAACUUAGGUGUCGACCUAUGUUUGCAAUGAAUCUCUUUUGUGACAACAAGGCUACAAUAGCUAUUGCACAUAAUUUAGUUCAACAUAAUCACAUUAAACAUGUUGACGUGGAUCGAUACUAUAUCAAAGAGAAGCUUGAAGCUAAAGUGAUUCAAUUUUCAUUCAUAAAGUCCAAGGAUCAAUUGACGAAUAUUUCUACAAAGGCAAUUUCCAGUAGAGCGUUCCACAACUCACUAGACUAGUUGGGCAUUGGCGAUAUCUAUGCACCAACUCGAGGGAGAGUGUUGGCGUGACUUAUGGACCCACAGUUACUUUCCUUACCCACCAAGGAUUCCUAUAUUAAGUGUAAUUGAUUUACUUUAAUUUAUAAUUUCCUACUGUAAAUAAAAUUAGGAGUUAUUACUUUCCUUGAACUAUAAAGAUUUAUUGUAUUAUAAAUACAACCUCCUACAAAGAGAAUAAUACAUAGAAAAUUCUCACAACCAAUAUUCUCUUAUACAUCUCAUAUUUUAGCACUUUUGCCAUCAACUCAUUUAUUUUAAUUUCUUCAUAAUGCUAGUGCGCUGCAGGUAAUGAAUUAGACCAUCAAGGAAAUUUGAUUAGUCAUUUUAAGCUUAGAUUGCAUGAUGGUGAUAGUUUUGAUGCUCACACUAAACACUGUCAAUAGAUUCCAAUUAUUCAAAUAUCAUAAAAGACAUUACAACCACUAAGUAGUACUUGAGGAGAAAAGAGAAAAUGGGUUUUACUUGAGGAAAAAGUCAGCCAGUUAUUUUUCUUUUUCUUUUUGUCAAAGAGAGAAAUGAGAUGGGCAGAGCUCAACAGUCACAAACGUGAGCAAACUGACAUGAUAAAUAAUACUAGACAAGAAAAGAAGCCAAGCGUUUGAUCAUUUUCUUAACAUUCUCCGUCUCAGUCUCACUAAAGAUAUGAAAGCAAUGGUCCUCUCCUUCCACUUCAAACAGCUCCACUUCUCCUUUCCACCCACUUUCCCUCACCAAAUCACAAUACCAAACACCUCGAUCCCUCAGCUGAUCCUUGCCUGCAACACACACAAGCAGCUUAGAGCACCCGAGUCCAGCCAGGCUCGGGGCACCCUCACCUGCUGGAUUCACCAUUGGAUUAUCAAUCCCUCCAGGAGCUGAUGGAUAAACAAAGUCCCAAACUUUAUACUCCAUAGUCUUCUCAAAGUCUUCACCUUUAGGCUCUGACCCAAUUGGCUUGGAACCCCAAAAGUAAGAGUGGGACAGAAAUGCACCCAAAAUUUUCACAGCACCAGAAAUGCUCUCAGCCCCUACCUUCAUAGCCAAGUUAUGUGCAAUAUUGCCACCUGCACUAUCACCACCAAUGUACAAUCUAUCAAAAUCUCCAUAGUUGAGUAACCAUGGUUCUUUGUUAUCAUCUAAUUCUUCGUUGUUUGCGUGAGAAGUGACCCAUUGAAGCGCAGCCCAGCAAUCUUCAUAAGCAAUAGGAAGUGGGUUCUCUGGGGCAAGUCUGUACUCAACAGAGACAGCUAUAACUUGGGCUUCUGAGACCAAGCGGUUGAGAUAACGGUGGUCAAGGAACGAGAAGGCAGAUUCAAUGCAAAAUGCUCCACCAUGGAAGUAAACCAAGAUGGGUAGCUUUUGGGUUUGGUUUUGAGGGACAUUUGGGAGGUAAAGUCGAGCAGAGAUGUUGGGGUUGUGUGAAAAAGUUAAGUCUUUAGAGGAGACUCUGGUUUGUGGGUCAUGAGGAGAAGGGGGCACAUAGGGAGAGCCCAGAAGGCGUUCCACUGUGCCAUCUUUGUAGAUUCUGAUGCGAGGAAG
This 5186-nucleotide long non-coding RNA is filed under the name Prunus persica (peach). RNAcentral describes it as "long non-coding RNA (PPER_LNC000412)". The record is from RNAcentral. Lineage: Eukaryota; Viridiplantae; Streptophyta; Magnoliopsida; Rosales; Rosaceae.